RNAcentral lists this long non-coding RNA (240 nucleotides) under Gallus gallus (chicken). The record is from RNAcentral. Lineage: Eukaryota; Metazoa; Chordata; Aves; Galliformes; Phasianidae.
GGACAGUUGGUGCAGGAAGAACGCAGCAGUAUCAGCGCACUCCAUCCCGGGGAUCUGAAUGCAUUUGCGGAGAGAACAGGGAAAUAAGAGGGGCCUUUGUGCAACACCAGAUGUUCAUGUCCUAGAAGCACGUGGCGGAGCACGUCCUGGGAUCAAGGUGCCAUGGACUGGAAAAUGCAGCUCUGGACAUACAGGCUUGGCGGAGUUCCUGUGUGAAGACAAAACUCCCAGUACUCCAGA